GGGGUUAUAGUUAAUAAAAAUAACAUUUAAUUUGCAAUUAAAAAUUACCCUAAUAGGUUUACCUCA
This 66-nucleotide transfer RNA is filed under the name Eysarcoris montivagus. RNAcentral's name for it is "tRNA-Ala". The record is from RNAcentral. Lineage: Eukaryota; Metazoa; Arthropoda; Insecta; Hemiptera; Pentatomidae.